This 515-nucleotide long non-coding RNA is filed under the name Phoenix dactylifera (date palm). Its description in RNAcentral is "long non-coding RNA (PDAC_LNC007933)". Lineage: Eukaryota; Viridiplantae; Streptophyta; Magnoliopsida; Arecales; Arecaceae. The record is from RNAcentral.
GCAUGGUCAUGGAUAUAAAUUGGGUGGCAAAGAAGGCAAUGGAUGACCCAACCUAGCUCAACAAUCUCUUUUGCUUUCACCAAGUCAUAAGAUGGGGAGGAAGAAGAAGGGAAGGAUGAAGCACUUGGAUUCAGGGGAGCAUACCUUCCUCUGGUCCCACAAACAAGAGGACGGCAUGAAUUGAAGCUAAAGAGGCAAGUCAUUUGGGCAAAGGGAAGGCUAAGCCUUUCUACCAGAUCUCUCUCUCUCUCUCUCUCUCUCUCCUUUCCCCUUGUGUGUGUUUGUGUGUGGAUUUAUGGAUCAGUUUCUCUUUAUGCCUACUAUCAAGGAAAAGUUGUUUUAGUUGGGGAGCAUUUAAAGCACACGUUCUUCUUGAGAUGGGGUGGGGUUGGUGGGCGUCCUGGGAUUUCUUGUUGCAGAAAAUCUGUAUCCGUACCGCAUUGCAAUGUAUCGUUGCUCGCUUUGUGUGAUCUAUUUGGCUUCAUUGUUAUGAUAAAAAACGUUGGAGUGUUCCG